GACUCCUCUUCCUCUCUUCGAGUUGGCGGACUGUCGGGCGCCGAUGCCGGCUCUCCAACCCUAGGCGUGGCUCUAGGUCGCUACAAUAGUAUGUCGAUGGUACAGUGUCAAAUAUGAAAUGUCUGACACGUAAUCGAUUCCCCAUGAUCAUUUCGUCUUUAUCUAUGUGCAUGAUCCGAGUACGAGUACUUGUCUUUAUCUAUGAGUACGAGUACUCUCAUGUCGCUGCAAAUUCUGGUGUCCAUAUAAUGGUGCAAUUGGAAGAAAAGUGUUGAGCGAUUAUCAACUACGGUCAGUGGAUUACGAGAUUGGCUGUGUUCCAUUACUGGCAAUUAGCCAGCUCAUUAGAGGCGAGGUGGCUGUCUGGUGUGCUCCUAUAUCACCUCGCAAGUCGGUUUGUUUAAGUGUUGUGGCGUAAUUGCUUCAAAUAUAAUCUAGCUUUCAACAUGUAGCUUUUUAUCAAACUAAAAUAACUAGUUUUUUCCCCCUCUUCUUAAUCGGUAAUUUUUCCUGCUGCCUCAAAAUUUUGGUAUUUUAUUUGGUAAAUUGUUGUUAGUUAUCUUCGAGGAAUUACUCAAACUUAAUUAAUAAUUUGGUAUGAAGGGUUGCACUCUUCAUUGCAUAAUUUUGUUAAAACCAAAUUUCUAACGGCCUACCAAAAAAGCCGAGUUGUACGCAUAAUAAUCUUCCUUUUUCUUUUUGCAAUGUUUCGCAUCCAUGUUUCAGCUCAUAUUUUGAUUUUUCUUGAGCGGAAUGCUCGGUUCACUAACAUUGUCUUCACUAUAAGCCAUUUAAAUAUAGUUUAAAAAAAUAAUUUUUCUCAUCUUAAAUACUUUCACUUAAAUUGACCUGAACUCACACCACACUAAUGCUGCUUACAAUCAAUUAAUAAUUUAUAAAACUGCGACUGCAACCCAAUAGGUUAGACGGUUUGUGUAAAACAUUAAAAUUCUGCGAAUUGCAAAAAUUGCUCGUUUUGCAGUCUUGUUAUUAAUUUACCCAAAUAUUAGCGUUAAAACGUUUAGCAAACUUUACAUCUGUACCCCUCGAGCAUCUAUCCGCUUUUGAGAAUGGAUCCUCUUUUCCCAUUAAAGUUAAAAAUGGGUUACAGCGCGUUUUGGAGCUGAAAACUUCAUCAAGUAAUGCGAUGUGGUCUUUUAGAAGACUGGCGCCGAUAUCGCAAUUUCAAUAUUUUUUGCAUAUGAGCUUCUCAUUUUAAAUAUUAAAAUUUGACAUCAACAAUUUGAUUAACCAGUGCCAUUCAGAUGUUGAUGUUUAUUCCAAAGUAUUUAUGUGUUAUAUAAGUUUCAAGGUAUGAUGAACAAUUUGUUGUUGAAUUAUUGAUUUUUGAUCAUCCAUUAAUUUUUGCAGCUGUUCCAUUUUACUUUAUUUAGCACAAUCUGGCUACGAUACACGUCUGCUAAGAACCGCCUGACACUGCCUCUGCUUGAUUACUCACCUGUGACAUUGUCCACGACAGUAUAUUAUUUGGAGAUCGCUAAAAUGUCAUUCUUUGGAAAUGCAUUUGUUGAACUAAUUUGAUAUGGAGCAUUUGUCUCUUCGAGAGACUGGCAAAUCGAAAGACAAACAUACAUCAGUUUGCCUCGACUUGUUUGUUUGUAUAUAUAAACAAUUAUGACGAAUGUUUUUGAGGUUUAAGAAACAUGCUUCUUGAAACCGAUAACCUUUUGCUUCAGUUGGGCGAUUGAAAACGGGUGCAAACAAUAUAAGAUCUAAUUGAUUGAAUAUAA
Long non-coding RNA from Dendroctonus ponderosae (mountain pine beetle), 1751 nucleotides. RefSeq lists it as uncharacterized. The record is from RefSeq and is a predicted model, not a curated record. The transcript is spliced from 2 exons. Lineage: Eukaryota; Metazoa; Arthropoda; Insecta; Coleoptera; Curculionidae.